This 253-nucleotide ribosomal RNA is filed under the name uncultured bacterium. RNAcentral describes it as "partial 16S ribosomal RNA". It matches the Rfam family "Bacterial small subunit ribosomal RNA", at positions 524 to 776 of the family's 1533-position model. The record is from RNAcentral.
CACGUAGGGGGCGAGCGUUGUCCGGAUUCAUUGGGCGUAAAGGGCGCGCAGGCGGCCCGGAAAGUCGGAUGUGAAAACUUGGGGCUCAACCCCAAGCUUGCGGUCGAUACGGGCAGGCUCGAGUUCGGUAGGGGAGACUGGAAUUCCUGGUGUAGCGGUGAAAUGCGCAGAUAUCAGGAGGAACACCGGUGGCGAAGGCGGGUCUCUGGGCCGAUACUGACGCUGAGGAGCGAAAGCGUGGGGAGCGAACAGG